This 1348-nucleotide ribosomal RNA is filed under the name Enterococcus hirae. RNAcentral describes it as "bacterial SSU rRNA". It matches the Rfam family "Bacterial small subunit ribosomal RNA", at positions 197 to 1533 of the family's 1533-position model. Lineage: Bacteria; Bacillati; Bacillota; Bacilli; Lactobacillales; Enterococcaceae. The record is from RNAcentral.
GAUUUGAAAGGCGCUUUCGGGUGUCGCUGAUGGAUGGACCCGCGGUGCAUUAGCUAGUUGGUGAGGUAACGGCUCACCAAGGCGACGAUGCAUAGCCGACCUGAGAGGGUGAUCGGCCACAUUGGGACUGAGACACGGCCCAAACUCCUACGGGAGGCAGCAGUAGGGAAUCUUCGGCAAUGGACGAAAGUCUGACCGAGCAACGCCGCGUGAGUGAAGAAGGUUUUCGGAUCGUAAAACUCUGUUGUUAGAGAAGAACAAGGAUGAGAGUAACUGUUCAUCCCUUGACGGUAUCUAACCAGAAAGCCACGGCUAACUACGUGCCAGCAGCCGCGGUAAUACGUAGGUGGCAAGCGUUGUCCGGAUUUAUUGGGCGUAAAGCGAGCGCAGGCGGUUUCUUAAGUCUGAUGUGAAAGCCCCCGGCUCAACCGGGGAGGGUCAUUGGAAACUGGGAGACUUGAGUGCAGAAGAGGAGAGUGGAAUUCCAUGUGUAGCGGUGAAAUGCGUAGAUAUAUGGAGGAACACCAGUGGCGAAGGCGGCUCUCUGGUCUGUAACUGACGCUGAGGCUCGAAAGCGUGGGGAGCAAACAGGAUUAGAUACCCUGGUAGUCCACGCCGUAAACGAUGAGUGCUAAGUGUUGGAGGGUUUCCGCCCUUCAGUGCUGCAGCUAACGCAUUAAGCACUCCGCCUGGGGAGUACGACCGCAAGGUUGAAACUCAAAGGAAUUGACGGGGGCCCGCACAAGCGGUGGAGCAUGUGGUUUAAUUCGAAGCAACGCGAAGAACCUUACCAGGUCUUGACAUCCUUUGACCACUCUAGAGAUAGAGCUUCCCCUUCGGGGGCAAAGUGACAGGUGGUGCAUGGUUGUCGUCAGCUCGUGUCGUGAGAUGUUGGGUUAAGUCCCGCAACGAGCGCAACCCUUAUUGUUAGUUGCCAUCAUUUAGUUGGGCACUCUAGCAAGACUGCCGGUGACAAACCGGAGGAAGGUGGGGAUGACGUCAAAUCAUCAUGCCCCUUAUGACCUGGGCUACACACGUGCUACAAUGGGAAGUACAACGAGUCGCAAAGUCGCGAGGCUAAGCUAAUCUCUUAAAGCUUCUCUCAGUUCGGAUUGUAGGCUGCAACUCGCCUACAUGAAGCCGGAAUCGCUAGUAAUCGCGGAUCAGCACGCCGCGGUGAAUACGUUCCCGGGCCUUGUACACACCGCCCGUCACACCACGAGAGUUUGUAACACCCGAAGUCGGUGAGGUAACCUUUUGGAGCCAGCCGCCUAAGGUGGGAUAGAUGAUUGGGGUGAAGUCGUAACAAGGUAGCCGUAUCGGAAGGUGCGGCUGGAUCACCUCCUUU